RNAcentral lists this ribosomal RNA (500 nucleotides) under uncultured Glomeromycotina. RNAcentral's name for it is "partial small subunit ribosomal RNA". It matches the Rfam family "Eukaryotic small subunit ribosomal RNA", at positions 591 to 1092 of the family's 1831-position model. The record is from RNAcentral. Lineage: Eukaryota; Fungi; Glomeromycota.
CCAAUAGCGUAUAUUAAAGUUGUUGCAGUUAAAAAGCUCGUAGUUGAAUUUCGGGAUCAAUAUAUCGGUCGUGCCAUCGGUACGUACUGGUAUCAUUGGUUUCUCCUUUCUGACGAACCAUGAUGUCAUUAAUUUGGUGUUAUGGGAAGUUAGGACUGUUACUUUGAAAAAAUUAGAGUGUUUAAAGCAGGCAUUAGCUUGAAUACAUUAGCAUGGAAUAAUGAAAUAGGACGUUCGAACCUAUUUUGUUGGUUUCUAGGAUCAACGUAAUGAUUAAUAGGGGUAGUUGGGGGCAUUAGUAUUCAAUUGUCAGAGGUGAAAUUCUUGGAUUUAUUGAAGACUAACUACUGCGAAAGCAUUUGCCAAGGAUGUUUUCAUUAAUCAAGAACGAAAGUUAGGGGAUCGAAGACGAUCAGAUACCGUCGUAGUCUUAACCAUAAACUAUGCCGACUAGGGAUCGGAUGAUGUUAAUUUUUUAAUGACUCAUUCGGCGCCUUACG